Molecule: transfer RNA, 69 nt
Filed under: Marmota monax (woodchuck)
Lineage: Eukaryota; Metazoa; Chordata; Mammalia; Rodentia; Sciuridae
Description: tRNA.Val
Source: RNAcentral
GGGGUUGUGGCUCAGUGAUAGAGCACUUGCCUCACACGUGAGGCACUGAGUUCGAGACUCAGCACCACA